CAAAAGGCAAAUGUUGUUUAGUUUGACACAUCUCAUUACUCUGAGGAAUAUGCAGGAUAAGACAAACUUUGUUAGCCUGUCAUGAAGUGCUAACAGUUACUGGAAAUCAAUAAAGGGACCCGCUUGCCUUGGAAAGAAACACUUAGCACAGACGUCCAGUUUCCCUGCUAAGUUUCAAAGGCAGGAUGCAGAAAGACGGAAGCCAAGACCUCGGUGCAGAAGACGCAGAGCCUUCCCCAGACCAGGAUGGUUAGAGUUGAAAGAACAUCUUGCCCUGACAGCAGCUGACAAAAUCAAACCCUUUUUCAAUGUUUUUUUGAUGUGAAUCACAAGAGGUUUGACUACCGGGAUUUGCAUCCAAGCAGGAACCCUACAGAUUUUUUCAAAUCCUGGUGACAAAGGUACGACAUUUAUGAUUUGUGACUGUUAUCCCACAUGUGUGAAUUGCCAAAACAAAGCUUUCAAAAACAGCAACUUUUGUUUGUGACUGAUGCAUUUUGUAAACAAUAAAGUGCCAACAUUGACACAAUGUGGUCUGCUCCAUCUCCAGGUACUGGCACUGCCUUGAGCUGACUGCUGCAGUGGCGUUAAUGAUGCUCUUUCAGUAACUGAGUGCUGAUACACCAUGGCUUUGGCUCAGACAACAGGACAGAAGUGAGACUGGUGAGGCCACAGAGAGGAGCUGGUGAGGACCUCCCACUGCUGCCUAUGGGACUUAGGACCCUGGGCCUUGUGUAAAGAGCAGUGAUGGAUGCCAAGGACCCAGCCAGAAGUGGGCAGGGGCAGGAGCAUCUCUGGUUCCUUUCCUCAAACAUGUCCUGAGCUGCCUGUGGAAUAUGCUGUGACACCCAUGACAGUGCAUGACCACGCAGGAGGUCCCUCCCUGCCUCUGCUGUCCCUGAUGCUGGAGGAGGACAAGCUGUGCUGGUCAGUGCGUGCUGUUGGGCAGGUGGCUAUGGCUGUGCCAGGGAGGAUGUCUUGCUCCUUUGGGGAUACACAUGGUGGGCAAGUGUGUUUAAAAAUCCCAGUGAAGGUCUACAGAAGUGCAUCACUCUCUCGACUCAGCGAGUCUUGUUUUCUUAAACUGCCCACUGAAGUGCCAGCUACCGGGGCUGUUAGAAAUGCCUUCUCCUUUCUAGGAACACAGAAAUAAGUGUGUCCAUUAUGAUAUGUGUAUGUGAGAAUACACCCACUCCUGUGAGACCCUCUACAGUUCUAAAUUGCAGAUAAGGUGAGCAGCACAAGGGCAUGAAGCAGCUGCAAGAGUGUGUCUGUGUACAGGCACUGCUGCACCCUGCUGAGGGCCCCCACUGCUUCCUAGAGCUGAGCAGUACUGUCACUUGGUGCACUUGUGCUUAGGAAGGCAUGAUUAGAAAGCUAGCCUUCAAAGAGAAAAGCAAGCUUCUGUAAUGUGAUUGUCAUCAUGGAGAUGAUCUGUUUCUUGUGACAUAUUCCAAUCUAGUGCUUGAUCUAGCAGUCAGCAACCCUGCCCGCAAGCAGAGGGAUUGGAACUAGAUGAUCUUUGAGGCCCUUUCCAACCCAACCCGUUAUAUGAUUCUAUGAUUUUUAAUCUGUAUUUCUGCACAGAGGAGGCUGAAAACAUUGACAAAAAAAAAAAAACAAAAGAACACCCAUUCUGAUCAAAGCUAGAUGCAUGAACAAGAAAUGUGUUGAAUCAAGACUAUUGCUACCAUGAAAAUUGGGCAGUAUGGCUUAGCCAGGCCACUAGCAUGCUGAGGCUGAAUGGAAAGAUGCUGGAAACUCCCAGAGAAAGAGCCCUGCUUAUAAGCAAUAUGAUGGUAAAAUAUGUUUGCAUAAAUCUGGCAUUACUUAAUGGUGCAAAGAUUAAGUCUAUCCUGGUUGUUUGAAAUGAUAGGCACACUUUAUUUGUGUGUCACUCAGUUUCCCUUUGGUUUUUAAGGACAAUGAUGUGAUUGUGACAAAGCCAAGUGACUCCCAGGGCUCAUCCACAAUGCUGAUGAGAGCCUGCGGGGAACACCACGGAUGAGAAUGAAACAAUUACCAGCGUCUUUUAAAGAAAACAGUGAGAGAGAGGUGGGCAGGAAUUUGACGUGGGGAAGGAUGAGAAGCAGGAGUGUGGGGCAUCCAUGGAAAUGAGGAAAUCUUUUCUGCUGCUGUUGGGCUUGGGGGUA
Long non-coding RNA from Numida meleagris (helmeted guineafowl), 2153 nucleotides. The record is from Ensembl. NCBI's taxonomy places the organism in Eukaryota, Metazoa, Chordata, Aves, Galliformes, Numididae.